GACGAACGCUGGCGGCGUGCUUAACACAUGCAAGUCGAACGGGAUUUCGUAAACAGAAACCUCGGUGGAAGAUUACUAAUGAGAGUGGCGAACGGGUGAGUAACGCGUGAGCAACCUGCCUAUGACAGUGGGAUAGCCUCGGGAAACCGGGAUUAAUACCGCAUAAAAUCGUAGAAACACAUGUUUUAACGGUCAAAGAUUUAUCGGUCAUAGAUGGGCUCGCGUCUGAUUAGCUAGUUGGUGAGAUAACAGCCCACCAAGGCGACGAUCAGUAGCCGGUCUGAGAGGAUGAACGGCCACAUUGGAACUGAGACACGGUCCAAACUCCUACGGGAGGCAGCAGUGGGGAAUAUUGCACAAUGGGGGAAACCCUGAUGCAGCGACGCCGCGUGAACGAAGAAGGUAUUCGUAUCGUAAAGUUCUGUCCUAUGGGAAGAUAAUGACAGUACCAGAGAAGAAAGCUCCGGCUAAAUACGUG
Molecule: ribosomal RNA, 478 nt
Filed under: uncultured bacterium
Lineage: Bacteria
Description: partial 16S ribosomal RNA
Rfam family: Bacterial small subunit ribosomal RNA
Source: RNAcentral